This 3109-nucleotide long non-coding RNA is filed under the name Macaca mulatta (Rhesus monkey). Its description in RNAcentral is "lncRNA (ENSMMUG00000044214.2)". The record is from RNAcentral. Lineage: Eukaryota; Metazoa; Chordata; Mammalia; Primates; Cercopithecidae.
AGACGCCAUAUGUGAUCCAAUAGCCAAAGGCUAUUAGCACAGGAAAAGAUCUGAUAAAAGUCUAUGAUUUUGUCCGUGUAGUUGACACUGCCGUUUUAACAUCAAGGGGGAAAUGCAAAGCUUCUAGUUCUGAUGAAUAGACAGUGACUAAAUAUAUUCCAUCAUGGCUGAGUGUCAGGGGCUGGCUCGGUACAAUCAAGCAUUUUGCAGUUCCUGAGGUCCUGAGGUUUGGCCAUAUAAGAACAUCCAGGUAGAUCCAGGUCUCUCGGCAACUCCAGACCCCCUGUUCCAGGAGUCCUGAUCGAAAGAGCUUGCUGCAAGAGUCAGUAGCCAGCAGCUAAACUGUUUCACCUCCUUUUCUUUUCUUGCCUGGUCUCUGGGUGGAAGUUCCAAUUAGGACUGAAACAGCCCCCAAAGCCGGCAGCUGAAGAGGAAAGGGGGAAUAUGGUGGUGCAUCAGUGCCAUCUAACUUGGUCUUAAACAGUAGGAAAUUAGCUGCUUGUCAUUAAAAUAAACUAAUGCCAGCCUGUUCCGUGGCUGCACGCUGCAGGGGACAUGAAAGGGGACUGGUGAAGUCCCCACAGUUUCUAGGGGUUAGAAUGGGCCGCUCUUCUCCCCUCCAGAUUCCGGCCACACUGUUAGUCAGCUGUGGAUCCUCUCCUCCCUUGCCUAAGUUAGAGGAGACAAAGUCUUGUUUCAGACAUCCCAGACUUCAUUCCCCAGAGAAGCAGAGAAUGAAUGGGUACUGUAUGUUCACUGCGGGUGUCCGAGAAGCUGCACAGGAAUUGUCUUAACGUGAAGAGAGUCCACACUGGACACCGGCACAAAGGGCAGAGUGAAGGGAUGAGCAUCAAAUGCGUCUCUGUUUGCCACCAGCACACGUUUCAGCUGUGCUAGAUUUGACUAGGCGCAGGACUCUGAACUAGUGGUUUGGUGACUAUUACCCUCCACGGUAUUGCUAUCACAUGCUCCCUGACCCCCUUCCUAAUAUUGCUGUGGUUCAGCAGCUCCAGUCUGCUGUUGAAAUGCUGGUAGUAUUCAAAACUCCGUUGGGACAUAUUAAAUUCUGGUGAGCCAGUGGGUGGGAUACCUUCUGAAUGACAAAGGGGCCCCCGUGGCUAAAAGCUGAAGGAAAUCUGUGCAAUGAUGAAUGUGCUGCAAUUAAUCACCAGAGAUCUGUUCUUUUCUUUAUAUGCAUAGUACAGCGCAGGGGCCAGGGCUGGGAGAGUCUCUGAGCCCAGACCUUCAUAGAAUUAAAAAUAAUGAACGUUUGUUAUCAGGCAUGACUUGACCAACAACUCCGCCUCCAUAGUUGGAAAUACAGACGUCCACUUUUCGCUGGCGUGUAAUGAUUUUCUGGAAUGCUGAGAAUUGUUCCCUGACCUAUGGCUCCUUUUUAAGCAUCUGGGAUAUGCAGUCUCUUUGCAAGUUGCUAUUUUGAAGUGAGGGAGUCUCAGGGAAUUGAAUAUAUGCCGCAUAAGUUCCUGCAAGAUGGACUUUCCGGGAGUCCUCUGAUGAGGUUGGGAGAAGGCAAAGAGAAGUUUCCGUGUAAAGGCUGAGCAAGCUCCAGGCCACUGCCGAAGUUCAGCUUUCUUCAGCUCUGUAAGCUGGACCCUGUGGCUGGAGUCCGGCCAGCUGCAGUGACAAGUUUCUAUUAUUAUGUAAAUGGAGUCCCAGUGCAGCCUUGGAAGAGUUUUUGGCACAGGGUAACCCUUUGACUGCCAAAAGGUAGCCUCUCCCUUUGCUUCAAGCCCAGAGUGUGCAUUUUGCCGUGGUGACCUGUAAGCCACCAGUCAACCUGCAGAUUGCCUUAUUAGGCAGACUGUGGAGAAUGGCGGCUGGGGACUGGCUGGCAGAGGCGGUGGCAGCGAGCUUGUGUCCUGUAUGAAGCCGGAGAACCCGAGCCCUUGGGACGUGGCCUAGUACUGUUCUAUUAAUGACAGUGCUCCCCGAUGACAGGAAUAUGCCCUCUCCUUGGCAGGCAUACUUUAUGGGUUGGUUGGAAAACAGGAGGUUUAUAGGAGGAGGUGACUGCCCGAAGGACAGAAUGGUAUGGGGCUUUCUUCACUGCAUAGCUUGUGCUGUUCAGUCCUGUAUUAGGGCUGAUUCUAGAGUAUGGACUUUAUCAGAAAUUUCUUUUUUUUAAGUUCAUGUUUGUCAUAUAAGUAAACUCCUGUUAUGGGGGUUUGUUGUACAGAUUAUUUCAUCACCCAGGCAUUAAGCCCAGUACCCACUUGUUAUUUUUUCAUGAUGCUCUCCCUGCUCCCACCCUCUACCCUCCGAAAGGCCCCAGUGUGUGUUGUUUCUCUCUAUGUGUCCAUGUGUUCUCAUCAUUUAACUCCCACUUAUAAGUGAAAACAUGCAGUAUUUGGUUUUCUGUUCCUGCGUUAGUUUGCUAAAGAUAGUAGCCUCCAGCUCCAUCCGUGUCCCUACAAAGGACACGAUCUCAUUCUUUUUUAUGGCUGCAUAGUAUUCCUUAUCAGGAAAUGUGGAAUGUUUUCCUUUUAAUCCAAGAUGUUUUGCAGACUCUAAAUCUUGUUUGUGUUUUAUACUAAAGUCUUUCUAAUGGUGAAGUCAUGUGUGUAGUAGGAAGGAAACAUCACUAGGUAAUAAGGUGGUACAAUGGAAACAGCAGAGUUUUAGGAGCCAGAGGACCUGUGUUCCAGGGCUGCCACAAGUGACCUAAGUGGAUAAGUCACUUGCACUGGGAAGGUGGCUUCCCCAAGGACAGAAUGGUAGAGCUUAUGUAUCUAGGGCUUAGUGGGCGAUCACUAGUGACCACUAGUGAAUCUGUGAUCACUAUAUAUUAAAUGUAUUCAAACAUUACUAUGUACCCCAUAAAUAUGUACAUUUAUUAUUUGUCAGUUAAAAACUAAUAUAAAAAUGUAGAGUAGACUGAAUGCACUCCAUUACCUCUCCAUUGUACAUUUCUCUCCUCAAAUUGCGUUAACCAGCCUCCCCUCUCCUUUGUGUUCUCUUCAGUAAAGCUGUUUAAUGAGUGUGUGGGGUUAACAGCCACAGCCAAGCAUCCACGGGGACCGUUCCCCUGACAGAACCUGUAAGGCUGAAUCCAUCUUUUCUCUUUUAAGUUUCUUCCAAACUUGCUGCA